GGUGGAUGCCUUGGCAGUCAGAGGCGAUGAAGGACGUAGUAACUUGCGAUAAGCCCAGAUUAGGUAGUAACAACCAUUUGAGUCUGGGAUUUCCGAAUGGGGAAACCCACUUACAUAAGUAAGUAUCGCUGCGUGAAUACAUAGCGCAGCGAGGCGAACCGGGGGAACUGAAACAUCUAAGUACCCCGAGGAAAAGAAAUCAACCGAGAUUCCGAAAGUAGCGGCGAGCGAAAUUGGACUAGCCCUUAAGCUUUACACGCGUUAGA
This 266-nucleotide ribosomal RNA is filed under the name Vibrio parahaemolyticus. RNAcentral's name for it is "partial 23S ribosomal RNA". It matches the Rfam family "Bacterial large subunit ribosomal RNA", at positions 23 to 292 of the family's 2925-position model. The record is from RNAcentral. Lineage: Bacteria; Pseudomonadati; Pseudomonadota; Gammaproteobacteria; Vibrionales; Vibrionaceae.